Molecule: small RNA, 56 nt
Filed under: Caenorhabditis elegans
Lineage: Eukaryota; Metazoa; Nematoda; Chromadorea; Rhabditida; Rhabditidae
Description: Unclassified non-coding RNA Y77E11A.18
Source: RNAcentral
AAGUUGGGUCCCGCCACGAAAACCUACGGGGUUACUGUAGCUUUCGCGGCGGGACC